RNAcentral lists this small RNA (818 nucleotides) under Arabidopsis thaliana (thale cress). Its description in RNAcentral is "ATSL192220". The record is from RNAcentral. Lineage: Eukaryota; Viridiplantae; Streptophyta; Magnoliopsida; Brassicales; Brassicaceae.
AAAAAGAAAAUAAAAUGACUUAGAUAUCCAGAAAAUAUGAAACAUUUUUUUUCUUUCGAAAACCGUUCCGAAACCGAUCAAAAUCCGACACCUAUCCAAACCGAAACCAAACGGAAUAGUAAAAAUCCAAAUUCAAAUAAAUCCAAACCGAAUCCGAACCAAAAUCCGAAUGUUUAGGCUUAUAUAGCGGUAAUGUCUUUUUAGCAUGGUCAAUGCAUUAUCAUAUUUCAAACUGGUAGUUAACGUUUAGUUCAUGUAUAAAAUGGUCAAAUGUGAAGUUGAUGUAUAAAAUGGCCACAAUUUGAAAGUUGGAGUAUUAAAUGACAAUUUUCCUGUUUCGAUUAUAGUAAAACGACGUCGUAUUGGAAACUAACAGAAACUAGUUAACGGCCGUUAUCGGUCUGUUAACGUCAGAUAACGUCGUGUGGAUUUUGGCCUGAUCAACGAUUAAGUUUGUGUGAAAUGGCCGGUCAACAAUUUUUACACUUAUUAAAUGGCUAUAUAAGAAGUUAACGUAUUAAAUCGCUACUUUUUGAAAGUUCGCGUAUUAAACAACAUUUUUCCCAAAAAAAAAAACCAACAACUAGCCUCAUAAAAUGAAAGUUUCUAAACCAAUGUUUCAUGUUGCUCCCCUAAGAGCCAGCCCUAAUAAUCGCGUGACAUACUUACUAGCUAGUGGCUUCGUUAAUAGGGUUUUAAAGUUUUUUUUUUUUGGGCAAAAGGUUUUAAAGUUUAAGGUAUUACUUAUAGUUAUAUAUGGCCAAAUCCAAUCACAUUAUUGUUGUAUCAUAGAUGCAUGAGGUCGACUAUAAUACUUU